RNAcentral lists this ribosomal RNA (207 nucleotides) under uncultured bacterium. RNAcentral's name for it is "partial 16S ribosomal RNA". It matches the Rfam family "Bacterial small subunit ribosomal RNA", at positions 524 to 729 of the family's 1533-position model. The record is from RNAcentral.
UACAGAGGGUGCAAGCGUUAAUCGGAUUUACUGGGCGUAAAGGGCGCGUAGGUGGUUGUUUAAGUGAGAUGUGAAAGCCCGGGCUCAACCUGGGAACUGGCAUCUUAUACUGGGCAACUGGAGUACAUGGAGAGGGUAGUGGAAUUUCCGGUGUAGCGGUGAAAUGCGUAGAUAUCGGAAGGAACACCAGUGGCGAAGGCGGCAUAC